AGUAAAUGAACAGGGCCGUUUGACAGAGUGAAACCCAUAUCAGCCCUAUUGAGCAAUGUCUUGAACGUUCUCGGCCUCAUCGGACUCAACUGCCUUUUCUGCAGCGAUAACUCACGAGCCCCAUUCAACCCGCUGAGUGGCGGGUAUAGGGUGUCACACCCCUCGGCGCCCCGAGGAUGAGGGGUGAGCGUCCGGGCAGCCGCCAAGCUCCUGAGGCUGGCCCAGUGACACCGUAUUAUCCAAGCUUCCCACUGUCCUCCCAGUUAACAUAAAUCCAAAGAUGUGCCAAAGAUGAAUCUAUGAUACUUCUUUUGAUGACGAUCAACAGUUGACUAUAUUAAACUUUAGAGCUGCAAA
Dama dama (fallow deer) is the source of this 357-nucleotide long non-coding RNA. RefSeq lists it as uncharacterized. The transcript has 3 exons. The record is from RefSeq and is a predicted model, not a curated record. NCBI's taxonomy places the organism in Eukaryota, Metazoa, Chordata, Mammalia, Artiodactyla, Cervidae.